UCUGUGUCCUUAGCCACAUUUUAUUGCAGCAUCAAUAAAACUCCUUAGUCCCAUGUUUUGAUUAACUUGGAUGAAAUUCAAGGAGUAAAGCUAGAAAUAGCUCACACUUAUAUUUUAUAAGGUAAGUGGUUUAGGUUUUAAAUUAGCCUCCACUGAUCUCUGUUCCAGAGAAGUUCUCAAGCAUUAUGGGUGAAAUAAAUAGGGAAAAUAAUGUUCAUGAAAUACUCAGAACAUAGUCCCCUUCGAAGGAAUAAAGUCCCCUUCAAAUUUCGUCACCCUAGAAGAUCGUGUGUUUAGCAGUGCUGCCAUUUGUUCAAAACAUUUUUAGGAUUCCUCUUUUGAAUCUGUAUCCCAUUUUUGAUCACCACAGUUGCACCAAAUCUUUACAUUUUAAGGGGUAGAUUUGAGCCCAGGCAUGAAAUAUUGGAGGUAGCAGGAGGCAGGAGACCUGGUGCUUGGUCCUGUUUUUCUGCAGACUUUGUGGCCUUUGGUGGGCCACCCAGCUUUUUUGGCCCUUCAUUUUCUCAUAUGGGGCUCAAUGAGAUAAUCUGAAGGUGGCUUCCAGUGCUGAAGGUCUGUGGUCAUAUAAGUGCUGGCAUGUUUUUUUGUUUGUUUGUUUCUGAGACAGGGUCUUAUCUUACUCUGUUUCCCAGGCUGGAGUACAGUGGUGCGACCAUGGCUCAAUGCAACCUUGAACUCCUGGGCUCAAGCAGUCCUCCCUCAGCCUCCUGAGGAGCUGGGACUACAGGCUGGAGAAGCAGAACAGCACACCUGAGAGUGACUACGACAACACUCCCAACGACAUGGAGCCAGAUGGCAUGGGGUCAAGCCGAAAGGGACGGCAAAGAAGUAUGGUGUGGCCAGGGGAUGGCUUGGUACCAGACACAGCAGAACCCCAUGUGGCCCCAAGCCCCACUCUCCCUAGCACCGAAGAUGUCAUCAGGAAGACUGAACAGAUCACCAAAAACAUACAGGAGCUCUUAAGAGCAGCCCAAGAAAAUAAACAUGACAGUUAUAUUCCCUGCUCAGAGAGGAUACACGUAGCUGUUACAGAAAUGGCA
RNAcentral lists this long non-coding RNA (1061 nucleotides) under Homo sapiens (human). RNAcentral describes it as "non-protein coding lnc-GLTP-3:2". The record is from RNAcentral. Lineage: Eukaryota; Metazoa; Chordata; Mammalia; Primates; Hominidae.